RNAcentral lists this ribosomal RNA (497 nucleotides) under uncultured bacterium. Its description in RNAcentral is "partial 16S ribosomal RNA". It matches the Rfam family "Bacterial small subunit ribosomal RNA", at positions 28 to 507 of the family's 1533-position model. The record is from RNAcentral.
GAUGAACGCUGGCGGCGUGCCUAAUACAUGCAAGUCGAGCGAACAGAUGAGGAGCUUGCUCCUCUGACGUUAGCGGCGGACGGGUGAGUAACACGUGGAUAACCUACCUAUAAGACUGGGAUAACUUCGGGAAACCGGAGCUAAUACCGGAUAAUAUAUUGAACCGCAUGGUUCAAUAGUGAAAGACGGUUUUGCUGUCACAUAUAGAUGGAUCCGCGCCGCAUUAGCUAGUUGGUAAGGUAACGGCUCACCAAGGCAACGAUGCGUAGCCGACCUGAGAGGGUGACCAGCCACACGGGAACUGAGCCACGGUCCAGACUCCUACGGGAGGCAGCAGUGGGGAAUAUUCGACAAUGGGCGCAAGCCUGAUCCAGCACCGCCGCGUGGGUGAAGAAGGUCUUCGGAUUGUAAAGCUCUUUUAUUGGGAAAGAAAAGAUGCAGGUUAAUCCCCCCCUGUUUUGACGGUCCCUAAAGAAUAAGCCCCGGCUAACUUCGUG